UACGUAGGGUGCGAGCGUUGUCCGGAAUUAUUGGGCGUAAAGGGCGCGUAGGCGGCCUUCUAAGUCGAACGUGAAAUCCCCGGGCUCAACCCGGGAACUGCGUCCGAUACUGGAAGGCUUGAAUCCGGGAGAGGGAUGCGGAAUUCCAGGUGUAGCGGUGAAAUGCGUAGAUAUCUGGAGGAACACCGGUGGCGAAGGCGGCAUCCUGGACCGGCAUUGACGCUGAGGCGCGAAAGCCAGGGGAGCAAACGGG
RNAcentral lists this ribosomal RNA (253 nucleotides) under uncultured bacterium. Its description in RNAcentral is "partial 16S ribosomal RNA". It matches the Rfam family "Bacterial small subunit ribosomal RNA", at positions 524 to 776 of the family's 1533-position model. The record is from RNAcentral.